This is a long non-coding RNA of Lemur catta (Ring-tailed lemur), 475 nucleotides long. RefSeq lists it as uncharacterized. NCBI's taxonomy places the organism in Eukaryota, Metazoa, Chordata, Mammalia, Primates, Lemuridae. The record is from RefSeq and is a predicted model, not a curated record. The transcript is spliced from 3 exons.
UUUCCAUCAAAAAGCAGACACAACAAAGUCAUUAAAAGCCUGAAUUUUCCACUGGCUUGGAGUUUCGAUGUUCUUCCGGCUCAGAGAGGAGUGAGAGCCUCCGGGGGACCAGCCACGUGUCGCAGCGCUAUCAACUUUCUGCUCUGAGGGCCGUGCUCACUGGACAUUUGCUGAAGGACAUACAGCCACGUUUGGCCCAAGCAGCUCAUGUAGUGCCUUUUCAAAUAAGACCUGGUGAAGGGAAAGGCAUCUGGAGGGGAGGCACCAGGUGUCCAGUGAGAAUGGAGCCUACAGGGCUGACACAGGCUGUCAGAAAUUGAUCCAUUUUCUGGGCCUAGAGGAGAAGAGGGCUCAUCAUAGGGUGCCCCCUGCCGUGGCUGGCCUGCUGGGAGGGAGCCAUCCUUUAACACUUCUUGGAACAUGACCCCACCCUUCGGAAGGAGAGUAUCACGCGCUCAGCUGCCUGCCUCACCUG